UACGGAGGGAGCAAGCGUUGUUCGGAAUUACUGGGUGUAAAGGGUGCGUAGGCGGUUCUGUAAGUUAGAUGUGAAAUCUCUGGGCUUAACCCAGAAACUGCAUUUAAUACUGCAGGACUAGAGUAUGAUAGAGGGAGAUGGAAUUCUCGGUGUAGGGGUGAAAUCCGCAGAUAUCGAGAGGAACACCAGUUGCGAAGGCGAUCUCCUGGGUCAAUACUGACGCUGAGGCACGAAAGCUAGGGUAGCGAACGGG
RNAcentral lists this ribosomal RNA (253 nucleotides) under uncultured bacterium. RNAcentral describes it as "partial 16S ribosomal RNA". It matches the Rfam family "Bacterial small subunit ribosomal RNA", at positions 524 to 776 of the family's 1533-position model. The record is from RNAcentral.